CAUUUUACAGAUUAAACAGUGAGGCAUACUUGUGCUUCAGUGUUUAAUCUGUAAAAUGGA
MicroRNA precursor from Chlorocebus sabaeus (green monkey), 60 nucleotides. Lineage: Eukaryota; Metazoa; Chordata; Mammalia; Primates; Cercopithecidae. The record is from Ensembl.